CGGCAAAGCUGUGGCAAAGGCGGUUUAAAAGCGUUCGUGCCCACCGAUCGCACGUUCAGUCGAUCGCGUACGUUUGUCUGCCGUCCAGCGCAGAAAAACUGCCGUGCGCGUCCGUUAGCCUUCUCGUUGCCUUCGGUACGUCGUAGUCCUCCUGUAAUGGUCGAGUCUAGGAGACGACAUUGAGGAAAGUGAGGAAGUGAUUUGGUGCCAAUUCAAAUGUGCCCUUUGUCAGUUUUAAACGUGAACAAAUACAUCCAUUUGAAGGGCCAGUCAUUCAUUGAUUUGUGAAAAUAAAAGUACAAAUGCGGCAAACGUUGCCGAAAGGAAAGACGUGUGAAACAUCAUCUUGCGUUAGUGAUAUGCCGCCAGGAGUGUGCACGGUCUGCCAGAUAAAAGCCAUCUCGUGAUAACGUGGAGUAGUAUCGUUAAAUUUAAAUCUAUUUACUCUGCAUCACGCGGUAGUUCGGUGUGGGUUGAUAAGUAGUGACAAGUAGUUGGGGAGUGUGGUUGGCUGUCAAGCAGCAAAGUUGUUCAAAACGUGAGGAAGCCAGUACAGGAGCUGUUUCCAACACGCGUCGCAGCCUGCCGGUUGAUAACGAUUGAUCAGUGAUUUUGCCUAUUGCGACACGAGCAAAUGCCAACCAUUGUCAAACAUCUCGGAGGUAUCUCUCGAACCGGGCCAGCGGAUCCGUCGCGAACUGGACCCAUGCUGUAAGAUCCUUCGAUUGUACUGCGACACUAGCGCCUGUCCACCGCCGAUCGAGUUUUGCGAUGCUGAGCGUACCAUUCGCCCUAAGAGCAUUGCCGGAACGUGCUGUACACUGCAGCGUUGUGAUAACUUUUGUGAAGUGUACGUCAACGGAGAGGUGACAACGCGGUCGGUAGGCGAGAAAUGGUUUAACAUGGUCAACGAAAC
Molecule: long non-coding RNA, 916 nt
Organism: Anopheles merus
Lineage: Eukaryota; Metazoa; Arthropoda; Insecta; Diptera; Culicidae
Exons: 3
Source: RefSeq, a predicted model, not a curated record